UCCCUCUCAGGCUCACACCUGGAGAGUUUCCAGCACCCUGCCAGUCUUGGCUACGGAGGGAGAGUCAAGCAGAGGCCUAUCUGUUCCAUUCCUAGCUUGGGCAGUGGCUAGCGAGUGGAAGGCAAUCUGCUACAAGU
Molecule: small nucleolar RNA, 137 nt
Organism: Tachyglossus aculeatus (Australian echidna)
Lineage: Eukaryota; Metazoa; Chordata; Mammalia; Monotremata; Tachyglossidae
Source: RefSeq, a predicted model, not a curated record